GUUUCCUCGGGAGAAGUGACGGAGAAGUGGGGGUGUGCGUUAGAGAGGAGAGGAGCAAAGAGAGGAGGCGGAGAAGGGGCACCCCCGGAACGCCGACGUCACUCGACUCUAAAUUCCCCCGCUCGUCCAACCCACCGGUUGGCUAAGAAGCGGCCUAAACCUCGGGUCCCUGCGCGCUUCCUGGCCGGACCACAACUGCCCCGCUACUUCACCAGCCUACGCGACCUAAGCGCCGGUUAGUCAGACGUUGCUGCCGUUCUGCUGCCUCUAGCCCAUUCUGGCCACGAUUUCCACGCGGCGGAAGGGGUACGGCGGAAGGACCGAAGGGGGAGCGGACGGGCGGUACAGGAGGGGCAGGGUCGGAGCUGGUGCAGUAGGGGCGCCUCCUCGAGCCGGAGACGUCGUCGCGGGGGGACCGGCGGGCAAACACCUUGCCCUUACGGUGUAACUAAACAAAGAACAGUAGAGGUCUACCCAAACACCAUGGACGUUAAAUAUGACCUUAAAUUAGAACUCGAGUCCUAAGGUACGGGAAAACAGAACUCGACUAAACGACGAAUAUUAUAGACUACCCAGUACGUAAGAAAACCAAGACUUUAAAUAUAACAAAAUAAAUAGGGCUCAAAUCUUCGGGACUGACUGUGAUCCACCAGGUCAUAGGUCACUCAAAGGGAAGACACACAUUAAAAGGUAGGUGUACCAAACGUCAAAACAUCAGUUGGUUAGUCAUGGCCGUAGUUUUAUAACUUUACUAAUCUACACCUCAUGGACUAGACGAGAGUAUUAUUGCGUCAGGGAAUAAUGAUCGAAAUAUUCUCUCCUUAAUCGGGAUAAGAAGAAACGAUGUUUAUUGCACCUAUGUCUUCUGACUUCAUCUUGAUCCCGUAGUACGUGCCCUUUAAGUUUAUCACGUGACCUUGGUUUGGAAAUCGAGAACCCAGAACAACUAAGUCACGUUCUUGUAUAAAAAAUCGACCUACAAAGUGAGUAAACUUAAAGAUAACACAAGAAGUCAUAACAAUCUACAGUUCAUAUGUUACUAUGUGAAUUAGAACUAAAUUAAAACUAGUAUUUCUCAAAUCGUAUCAAAACAACCUGGUUCUGGUAGGAAACACAUAUAGGCACUAGACAUGGUUCGUUGUAUCGACGGUCUACUUUACAAGGAAAGACUACUUGUAUUCACAAGGUUAGAGAAGAGAUGGUGAUUGUAUAAAUGAAUAAGAAUACUACAACAUUUGAACUGAUGAAUUCACACCUAACAAAUACGUCCUAAUAUCGUGCCUUCUUUCCAGUUCUCUUUACCUAAAUAAUUCUGAGAAAGGAAUGACCGAACUAUGAUUAGUUACCUUACGUUAUGACUUGCUACAAUUGUAAGGGAGAAACAAAUAAGACUGACCAGGUUGACCACCUCCAUUUAGGUCGUACAACACAAAUCAGAUGUGGCGACGUAACGAACCUUAUACACCCGACUACCACGGUCGACGAAGUAGACAGUAGGGUGUGAAUUUAAGGUAGUACAACGUAUACUUCCGGAUACGAUGAACUCGACUACCCUUUUCAAGUAAAGUCCACGGUUAAAACAUCGAAACGUAAAGAAAAGACGUUUUAGACACAGAACAUAAGGGUCCUCGUGUACACGAUGUGAUAGAAUAUUACAAAUCUAAAAGACCUAGUACCUCAGUUCGGACUAUUUUUUAUAAAAAACUACAAUAAAUUAAAACUACAGCUCGAAAAGUUAUAGUGCCCUUUCUCAGCUCUACGAUCUUUGAUAUGACCGUACCCCGAACCACCAUGUCAAGGGACUGGAAGGACAGUCCUAUACUUUGUUGGAAGUUAAAUGUCCUAGACUUUAUCGAGCCACUAGAAAGAAGGGUGUAGUAGAGUCUUAAGACAUACAUCAGGAGAUUCCGUUUUCACUUUAAAAGUACAGAACCAUGUAAAAUUAAAGUCUCUUGAGCCGUAAGUCUGGAGCGACCGACGUCGAUCUACUCGAACGACCAUAAAAUAAUAGACCAGUAUUCGUCUAAACAAUAGAAGUUCAUUUCGAUUUACACUCGGUGUGGUUGAAGGAAAUCAAGAACCUUAAAACAAUCACAGGAAACCUAAUUGUUAUACGGUGUUACGAAAUCUUCUAAACGUCCCUGGACACGAUAAACUUCUAUGUUCACCGGAAGAAACAAUGAAUACAAAAGUAAAAAAAUAUUUGAUAAACGUUAAGGUAGACGAAGAGUAUCAAAGACGUUAGAAGUUUAAGUUGAAUACAAUAUCUCCGAAGUCAAGAAUUGUAUACCAUGAACUAACUAGUAGUACAUAUAACAUAUUUGUAUUUUACUACGUGAUUUACGUG
RNAcentral lists this ribosomal RNA (2347 nucleotides) under Triticum aestivum (bread wheat). RNAcentral describes it as "partial small subunit ribosomal RNA". The record is from RNAcentral. Lineage: Eukaryota; Viridiplantae; Streptophyta; Magnoliopsida; Poales; Poaceae.